This 406-nucleotide ribosomal RNA is filed under the name uncultured bacterium. Its description in RNAcentral is "partial 16S ribosomal RNA". It matches the Rfam family "Bacterial small subunit ribosomal RNA", at positions 30 to 526 of the family's 1533-position model. The record is from RNAcentral.
AUUGAACGCUUGCGGCAGGCCUAUCACAUGCAAGUCGAACGAGUGGCGGACGGGUGAGUAAUGUCUGGGAAACUGCCCGCUGGAGGGGGAUAACUUCUGGAAACGGUAGCUAAUACCGCAUACCAUCGGAUGUGCCCAGUUGGUAUUAGCUAGUAGGUGGGGUAACGGCUCACCUGGGCGACGCUCCCUAGCUGGUCUGAGAGGAUGACCAGCCACACGGGAAAUGAGCCAUGGUCCAUACGCCUACGGGAGGCAGCAGUGGGGACUAUUGCACAAUGGGCGCAAGCCUGAUGCAGCCAGGCCGCGUGUAUGAAGAAGGCCUUCGGGUUGUAAAGGACUUUCAGCGAGGAGGCGUUACUAGCAGAAGAAGCACCGGCUAACUCCGUGCCAGCAGCCGCGGUAAUAC